GACGAACGCUGGCGGCGUGCUUAACACAUGCAAGUCGAACGGUAAGGCCCCUGGGGGUACACGAGUGGCGAACGGGUGAGUAACACGUGGGUGAUCUGCCCUGCACUUCGGGAUAAGCCUGGGAAACUGGGUCUAAUACCGGAUAGGACUCCUGGCUUCAUGGUUGGGGGUGGAAAGCUUUUGCGGUGUGGGAUGGGCCCGCGGCCUAUCAGCUUGUUGGUGGGGUAAUGGGCUACCAAGGCGACGACGGGUAGCCGGCCUGUGAGGGUGACCAGUCACACUGGGACUGAGAUACGGCCCAGACUCCUACGGGAGGCAGCAGUGGGAAAUAUUGCACAAUGGGCGCAAGCCUGAUGCAGCGACGCCGCGUGAGGGAUGACGGCCUUCGGGUUGUAAACCUCUUUCAGCUAUGACGAAGCGCAAGUGACGGUAGUAGCAGAAGAAGGACCGGCCAACUACGUGCCAGCCGCCGCCGUAA
Molecule: ribosomal RNA, 478 nt
Filed under: uncultured bacterium
Lineage: Bacteria
Description: partial 16S ribosomal RNA
Rfam family: Bacterial small subunit ribosomal RNA
Source: RNAcentral